UGGGGGAUAUUGCACAAUGGGCGAAAGCCUGAUGCAGCGACGCCGCGUGGGGGAUGAAGGCUUUCGGGUUGUAAACCUCUUUCGCUAUCGAACAAGGCCCGCUUAGGGUGGGUUGAGGGUAGGUGGAGAAGAAGCGCCGGCUAACUACGUGCCAGCAGCCGCGGUAAUACGUAGGGCGCGAGCGUUGUCCGGAAUUAUUGGGCGUAAAGGGCUUGUAGGCGGCUUGUUGCGCCUGCUGUGAAAACGCGGGGCUUAACUUCGCGCGUGCAGUGGAUACGGGCAGGCUUGAGUGUGGUAGGGGUGACUGGAAUUCCAGGUGUAGCGGUGGAAUGCGCAGAUAUCUGGAGGAACACCGAUGGCGAAGGCAGGUCACUGGGCCAUUACUGACGCUGAGGAGCGAAAGCAUGGGUAGCGAACAGG
RNAcentral lists this ribosomal RNA (420 nucleotides) under bacterium. Its description in RNAcentral is "partial 16S ribosomal RNA". It matches the Rfam family "Bacterial small subunit ribosomal RNA", at positions 355 to 776 of the family's 1533-position model. The record is from RNAcentral.